AGAUCCCUGAGCAGAGCGAGCCUGAGCAACGGAGGAGUGCGAGCUGUUUCCGGCGAAGUUCCUGGCCAAACGCUUGAUCGAAGCGUCGUCCGGACACUGAUCGGGUUCCACCCUUAUCAGUAUCAAUUGAGAUUGAUCUUCCUCUAUGUGCUUAUCUCUGUGAUUAAUCUUCCUAUAGUAAAUCGGUUUUGCUUUCUAACCCAAAUCGAUUUUACAAAUUGAAAUCGUGUGGCGUCUCUUUUCAAGAUUGCAAUUUCAACUUUUCAAGAAUUCAAGAUUUCUCGUCGCCUGCUGAUCUUCUCUCGUCACUCAUCGCUUCUUGAUUGUUGCUUUUCGUGCUUUCAGAUCGUGAUUUCAUCUCACAGGAUUGCAGAUUGCGAUUUCCACAGUUUGCGAUUUCCAUUUGAGGAUUUUGGAUCUGCGAUCUGAGAUGGCAGUUCGUUGUUGCGGUUUCUCAGCUGCGAUUCAGCUAGCGCUCGUUGUCGUUGCUCAUCUGCGAUUUAGGAUUUUCAUUCUUCAAAUCGGUUUGCGUUGAUUUAUGAUUCUUCAUUUACCGAUAUCUUAAUAUCUUGAUUUGUGAUUAAUUUUUUUCUUCUCUAUCCUGAAAAUUGAAAAUCUGCAUAUAGUUAAGAUUGAUUAAUUUAAAACUAUAGGUGGAAGAUGCAUAUUGCUGUUAAUUUCUGAUUCUAUAAUUGUGUCAUCCCCAAAUUUGUUUGUUGAAAACUAGUUUGGGUAAAUCGAUUUCUGUAAAUCAGUUUCCCCUAGAUGUGAUAUUUUUUGCAAUUUAUUUUGUUUCUUCUUCUUGCUAUUGUUGUAAAUCAAUUUCUUGCAAUUGGUUUUCUUUGCAAUUAGAGUUCUUGAAAAUAGGUGUUAUCACGUCAUUUCUUGCAUCUAGUUUUCAAAUUCAUUUCAAGAUUGAAGAUUUUUUUUUUAGUGCAUGUACAAACAAUUUUUCAAAUUAAAAAUAUACUGGAUCAGCAUCCAAAAAAAUAUUCUCUAAAAAAAUUAUGUCGAAUUUAUCAGCUAGCAUGACAAAAAUUGAUAAAUUCAUAUAAUUGAUUGUUUAGGGAUUAAACACUACUUCUACUAAUCCCCAACCAACCGACCAUUGACAUCUUUCUGGACAGGUGCCACACCAUGAAGGAGUCGAGCUCACUAUAAAAGUUCCAAUUCCACCACUUACAAGGGUAGCAAGAACAUCAGAGAGAAAUCACACCAUCGUUCGUCCAAUUUCAUACCCAAAUAAUCGAUUCCCCAUCCGAGCAUGUCAUCAAACAUUGGUGAACCUGACAUGAAUGAUUCUGUUCAAAAAAAUGUAGCAAAUCUAAUCCCAGAGCGAGAAAUCCCAGUCUCGUUCUUAGGGAAAAAACAGGCGGUACCGGAGCGAUUAUCGACGAGGAAGAACACUCACCAAAACUCAGGGAAAUGAUAGAAGAGGAACCAGGAAAACCUGACCUAGAGAAAAUUCCAGAAACCAGGAGAAAACGCGGAAGGGAGGCCGAACCCAACCCAAGCUUCGACCCACUCGACACCGGUGGAGAAGAAAAGAAAUCUUACAGCGAGAAAAGAUUUUACGGAAGCUGGCAAAAUUAAAAAAACAAAUAAAACUUCUAUCUCAAGCAGGGCAGGUAGCGAAAAUUAACCAAGGACUGAGCACGAGCUCACCUAAGUCGUGGUCAAAGGUCCAGACCCAGUGGCCC
RNAcentral lists this long non-coding RNA (1700 nucleotides) under Zostera marina. RNAcentral describes it as "long non-coding RNA (ZMAR_LNC005271)". The record is from RNAcentral. Lineage: Eukaryota; Viridiplantae; Streptophyta; Magnoliopsida; Alismatales; Zosteraceae.